RNAcentral lists this long non-coding RNA (1208 nucleotides) under Callithrix jacchus (white-tufted-ear marmoset). Its description in RNAcentral is "lncRNA (ENSCJAG00000084808.1)". Lineage: Eukaryota; Metazoa; Chordata; Mammalia; Primates; Cebidae. The record is from RNAcentral.
AUUAAAUCAAGCUAGUUCACGCAUUCAUCACCUCGAAUAUUAAUACUUAGCAUUUGUUUGUGAUGAGAACAUUUGAAAUUUAGUCUCUUAGCAAUUUUGAAACACAUAAUACUCUAUUAUUACCUAUAUUCACCACGCUAUACAGUAAAACUUUAAAAAAGAAAAAAAGAACAUUUACCUCCCACCUAACUGGAAUUUUGUACCCUUUAGACCACAUUCCAUGGCUCGGAAUGUGGUGGCUCUCCCAAGAGUUAGAGUUAGAAAGCUCUUUGUACAUUAUUUAACAUUCCUCCAUGUCAGCAAGGCACUUAGCCCAAUCAAGGCAAUUUCUCACAAUUUUCUGGUCAUUAAAAAUAUACUUUAAAACCAUUGACUUCACUCGAGGGCUUUCUUGGUGCUGUUGAAUCAAAGUUGGAAUUCUCACCACACUCCAUUCAUUUUACCGCUGGCUUCAUUAUUCUGGCCAGCACCUACGCUAAAUCUGAGAGCCUGAAUUUUGUGCCCAAUUAAACACGGAAUUAAAAGCUCAGAGAGGCACAUCCAUUAUCAAAAUUGGGGCUUUUCACACCAUACACUCACUCGAAAACAUUUUCUAGUGAACGAAUACACCCUAGCCGUUGUCAUUCCAGCACUGUUGCUGUGCCUCUGCUCGCAGCAAAAGGUUUUCAAGUCUGAACGGAAUCCAAAUGAGCUCAGCUCCUGCGAUUCAUUGAAAAACAGGUUCAGCGGCUGUGAAUUUUGGCCAAUGAAACAUGGCAGGAGUGAUGCAUCUCCCUUACUGGGCUGUCCCACAGAAACCUCCCACGGGAUCCUCCCCACUCUCCCUGACUCCCACCUGCCAGCUGGAAACAGGAUUCAAGAGAGAUCUUCAAGCUCCAAGGGAUGGUGGAACCUCACGCUGCAGAGAGACGGGCCUUAGAAUCACCCCGUGAAAGGCUGCCUCAGAACACUUACAUUGAGUCAUCAUGUGAGCUAGAAAUAAAACUCCCAUUGUGUUAAGUUGCUAAAAUUUGAGGAUUGUUUGUUUCAGCAGAGAGCUUAUUCUAACUGAUAGAGGAGUGGGGAUUUGCUUUCAGAAAGGAUUCUUUACUUUGCAAGAGGAAUCAUGCCAGGAUCUCUUUAAGUUGCGGGCUUGCCUUACACAGGUGAUAUGAAGCCACUUAUUACACAUUGAUCUCAGGGGCACAUCAGUUGUGCCAGCUGCUGGC